RNAcentral lists this transfer RNA (71 nucleotides) under Biomphalaria glabrata. It matches the Rfam family "tRNA". From Rfam's summary of the family: Transfer RNA (tRNA) molecules are approximately 80 nucleotides in length. Their secondary structure includes four short double-helical elements and three loops (D, anti-codon, and T loops). The record is from Rfam by way of RNAcentral. Lineage: Eukaryota; Metazoa; Mollusca; Gastropoda; Planorbidae.
GUUGUGGUGGCUGAGUGGUAAAGCGCUUGGCUUCUGAGCAGGAUGUUCGGGUUGGAAUCCUGGUGAAGACU